GCUUCUUUCUCUUCCUCCCGGCGUACAUCCCGCCGGCAGCACCGAGCAUCGCCGGCUGCGCCCGGAGGAGGAGUUUAAACAGGAGU
This is a microRNA precursor of Gallus gallus (chicken), 86 nucleotides long. The record is from Ensembl. Lineage: Eukaryota; Metazoa; Chordata; Aves; Galliformes; Phasianidae.